AUUCCGACCUCGAUUUUUUCUUUGUUUCCGCCAAGUGCAGCGGCAAGCGGCAUUCCCUUUUCUUUUGCAUAUAAGUCCCAUA
This 82-nucleotide non-coding RNA is filed under the name Bacillus methanolicus MGA3. Lineage: Bacteria; Bacillati; Bacillota; Bacilli; Caryophanales; Bacillaceae. The record is from RNAcentral.